This 253-nucleotide ribosomal RNA is filed under the name uncultured bacterium. Its description in RNAcentral is "partial 16S ribosomal RNA". It matches the Rfam family "Bacterial small subunit ribosomal RNA", at positions 524 to 776 of the family's 1533-position model. The record is from RNAcentral.
UACGGGGGGGCAAGCGUUGUUCGGAAUUACUGGGCGUAAAGGGCGCGUCGGCGGCCUGCUACGUCGGACGUGAAAUCCCUCGGCUCAACCGGGGAACUGCGUCCGAUACUGGCGAGGCUUGAAUCCGGGAGAGGGAUGUGGAAUUCCAGGUGUAGCGGUGAAAUGCGUAGAUAUCAGGAGGAACACCAAUUGCGAAGGCAGCUCGCUGGGACGUUACUGACGCUGAGACGCGAAAGCGUGGGGAGCAAACAGG